GCUUAUAACAAUGAUUGACAGGGAGCUAAGAUGGAGGUGGCUCUCUCUAUACUGACUGCCAGGUGUAAAGGGCGGAGCUUAUAACAAUGAUUGACAGGGAGCUAAGAUGGAGGUGGCGUUCUCUAUACUGACUGCCAGGUGUAAUGGGCGGAGCUUACAACAAUGACUGACAGGGAGCUAAGAUGGAGGCGGCUCUCUCUAUGCUGACUGCCAGGUGUAAAGGCGGAGCUUAUAACAAUGAUUGACAGGGAGCUAAGAUGGAGGUGGCUCUCUCUAUGCUGACUGCCAGGUGUAAAGGGCGGAGCUUAUAACAAUGGCUGACAGGGAGCUAAGAUGGAGGCGGCUCUCUCUAUACUGACUGCCAGGUGUAAAGGGCGGAG
Non-coding RNA from Pelobates cultripes (western spadefoot toad), 380 nucleotides. Lineage: Eukaryota; Metazoa; Chordata; Amphibia; Anura; Pelobatidae. The record is from the annotation of a GenBank genome assembly.